UACCAGCUCUCCGAGUGGUAGGGAUGAUUAUUGGGCUUAAAGCGUCCGUAGCCGGCUUAGCAAGUCUCCUGUUAAAUUCAGCGACCUAAUCGUUGAGCCGCGGGAGAUACUACUAGGCUAGGAGGCGGGAGAGGUCAACGGUACUUCCGGGGUAGGGGUGAAAUCCUAUAAUCCCGGGAGGACCACCAGUGGCGAAGGCUGUUGACUAGAACGCGCUCGACGGUGAGGGACGAAAGCUGGGGGAGCGAACCGGAUUAGAUACCCGGGUAGUCCCAGCUGUAAACGAUGCGAGCUAGGUGUUGGGUGGCUACGUGCCACUUCAGUGCCGCAGGGAAGCCAUUAAGCUCGCCGCCUGGGGAGUACGGCCGCAAGGCUGAAACUUAAAGGAAUUGGCGGGGGAGCACCACAAGGCGUGAAGCUUGCGGUUC
This 428-nucleotide ribosomal RNA is filed under the name uncultured archaeon. RNAcentral describes it as "bacterial SSU rRNA". It matches the Rfam family "Archaeal small subunit ribosomal RNA", at positions 474 to 903 of the family's 1478-position model. The record is from RNAcentral.